Molecule: long non-coding RNA, 722 nt
Filed under: Helianthus annuus (common sunflower)
Lineage: Eukaryota; Viridiplantae; Streptophyta; Magnoliopsida; Asterales; Asteraceae
Description: sRNA HanXRQr2_Chr11g0481301
Source: RNAcentral
GUUCUUCAUCAGUUUGACAAACCCAGAAAAUCUCGAUCAUAUUUCCUGUUUCAGGAAUUCGGUGAACGUCGUUCAUAUUCCGGCGAACAUUAAUCGGAGAUGACAUAAGAUUCCGGCGAACGUUAAACUGAAAACAUUGAUUCCCCACAAUGAAAAGCUUCUGAAUGAUGCUACGGGUUAAGACACAGAUGUUGCUGUGAUGAAUUCUGCAAUAGUCAAGGAUUUGAAACUAGCUGUUGAGAAAAAUAAGUCAAUGAAAUGGAGUAGUAAAAGAUGGGUCAUCUUCAUAUUUCUUGGUAUUUCCCUUUUUUCUGUUACCUAGCUGUAUUUCAUAUAAAUGGUAUGAAAUUGCCGCCUUCAUGACUAGGUACCAUGAACUGCUUGCUAUUUCUCAUCUUUUUGGGAAUACUAUUUUUCUCAUUUGUUAAUUAUCCAAAAAUAAAUAUUUUUUUCCCAAUGAUAAUUUUUGUGGUAAAUUAGUCAUAUUGCACGUUUAGAGCUUCCAUUUGUUGGUUGUGUGUUCAGGAAGCAUGUUGUGUGGCGAAAAUUGUCUCUCAUACCACAAUAAAAAACUUUUAUUUUCCGGCAGUUGCUGUAACCUCACGACCCAUGUUUGUAUCUAAAAACUUAGUUUCCGGCAGUCCACUUUAAACCCAGUUCUUUUCGUCUUUCAUUCAUGGCCGACCCAGAAAUCAAUAAUCAUAAUUCCGACGAAAACGUUG